This 428-nucleotide ribosomal RNA is filed under the name uncultured bacterium. RNAcentral describes it as "bacterial SSU rRNA". It matches the Rfam family "Bacterial small subunit ribosomal RNA", at positions 354 to 796 of the family's 1533-position model. The record is from RNAcentral.
GUGGGGAAUAUUGGGCAAUGGGCGCAAGCCUGACCCAGCAACGCCGCGUGAGGGAAGAAGGCUUUCGGGUUGUAAACCUCUGUCCUUGGUGACGAAAAAAAUGACGGUAGCCAAGGAGGAAGCCCCGGCUAACUACGUGCCAGCAGCCGCGGUAAUACGUAGGGGGCGAGCGUUGUCCGGAAUUACUGGGCGUAAAGGGUGCGUAGGUGGCCUUUUAAGUUGGAUGUGAAAUCCCCGGGCUUAACUUGGGUGGUGCAUCUAAUACUGGAGGGCUAGAGUGCAGGAGAGGGAAGCGGAAUUCCUAGUGUAGCGGUGAAAUGCGUAGAUAUUAGGAGGAACACCAGUGGCGAAGGCGGCUUUCUGGACUGUAACUGACACUGAGGCACGAAAGCGUGGGGAGCAAACAGGAUUAGAAACCCUAGUAGUCC